GCCAGACUCCUACGGGAGGCAGCAGUGGGGAAUAUUGCACAAUGGGGGAAACCCUGAUGCAGCAACGCCGCGUGGGUGAAGGAGCGUUUCGGCGCGUAAAGCCCUGUCAGCGGGGAAGAAGAAAGACGGUACCCGACCAAGAAGCCCCGGCUAACUACGUGCCAGCAGCCGCGGUAAUACGUAGGGGGCGAGCGUUAUCCGGAAUUACUGGGUGUAAAGGGAGCGUAGACGGCGAUACAAGUCUGAAGUGAAAGCCCGGGGCUCAACCCCGGGACUGCUUUGGAAACUGUGUUGCUGGAGUGCUGGAGAGGCAAGCGGAAUUUCUAGUGUAGCGGUGAAAUGCGUAGAUAUUAGGAAGAACACCAGUGGCGAAGGCGGCUUACUGGACUGUAACUGACGUUGAGGCUCGAAAGCGUGGGGAGCAAACAGGAUUAGAUACCCGCGUAUA
RNAcentral lists this ribosomal RNA (448 nucleotides) under uncultured bacterium. RNAcentral describes it as "bacterial SSU rRNA". It matches the Rfam family "Bacterial small subunit ribosomal RNA", at positions 330 to 794 of the family's 1533-position model. The record is from RNAcentral.